CAAGACAGAAGAACACAGGUCAGGACUGAGUGGAGAGGUCAACAGAGGAGUAGAAGGAUUGCUGACAUGGUCCAAGGCGUAGUCACCGGUGUGCAUGCGGAGGAUCUUGGUGAUGGUGAACUGUGGCCCGGAGUAGACCUGGGAGUUGUUGUAGAACCAGACAUACUGACUGGCCGGGUUGGACUGGGCUUGACAGAGUAAAGAAACAGUCUCUCUCUCCAGGGCUGAGUAUCCCCGCUCUGUCCUACUGUACGGAGUCACGUCUAUCUGUGGAAGGUCUGGGCCAACUGAGGAGAAAGGAUAUGAACAACAACAAAAUUAUGAUGGACACGGAAACGCAAUAGUACAUACGCAGGUGGAAAUGUUACCGCUGCGGGUCUCAUGUUGCCAGACAUAUUGGAUGGGGCCAGUCCCGUUUUCCAGAUUGCAGCGCAUCCACAUUAUGGAUCCUUCCACUGGAGACACAUCACUCAUCAGGAGAUGCCGGAGGUCACGUACGUCCCUCUCUCCGCUCCAGAAGUUUCUUGGAGAGUCCAGUUGCAUGCACGGACUUCACUGGACUGAGAGUAGGAAGGGACGCAGGGGUUAGAAUAACAUGAGCUCAUCUAUUUUACAAGAGAGACUCAUAAGUGGACA
This is a long non-coding RNA of Scophthalmus maximus (turbot), 636 nucleotides long. RefSeq lists it as uncharacterized. The record is from RefSeq and is a predicted model, not a curated record. NCBI's taxonomy places the organism in Eukaryota, Metazoa, Chordata, Actinopteri, Pleuronectiformes, Scophthalmidae. The transcript has 5 exons.